CCUACGGGAGGCAGCAGUGAGGAAUAUUGGUCAAUGGGCGUAAGCCUGAACCAGCCAAGUCGCGUGAGGGAUGAAGGUUCUAUGGAUUGUAAACCUCUUUUAUAAGGGAAUAAAGUGCGGGACGUGUCCCGUUUUGUAUGUACCUUAUGAAUAAGGAUCGGCUAACUCCGUGCCAGCAGCCGCGGUAAUACGGAGGCUCCGAGCGUUAUCCGGAUUUAUUGGGUUUAAAGGGUGCGUAGGCGGCCUUUUAAGUAAGCGGUGAAAGUCUGUGGCUCAACCAUAGAAUUGCCGUUGAUGCUGGGAGGCUUGAGUAUGUUUGAGGCAGGCGGAAUGCGUGGUGUAGCGGUGAAAUGCUUAGAUAUCACGCAGAACCCCGAUUGCGAAGGCAGCCUGCCAAGCCAUGACUGACGCUGAUGCACGAAAGCGUGGGGAUCAAACAGGAUUAGAUACCCUUGUAGUC
Molecule: ribosomal RNA, 460 nt
Filed under: uncultured bacterium
Lineage: Bacteria
Description: partial 16S ribosomal RNA
Rfam family: Bacterial small subunit ribosomal RNA
Source: RNAcentral